AUGGCCGAGUCGAAGAACCACACGGCGCAUAACCAGUCGUACAAGGCGCACAGGAACGGCAUCAAGAUGCCCAAGCGCCAGCGCCAGGCCACCACCAAGGGGGGGUACAUGGACCCGAAGUUCCCGAGGAACCCAAGGUACUAG
This 144-nucleotide ribosomal RNA is filed under the name Triticum aestivum (bread wheat). Its description in RNAcentral is "partial small subunit ribosomal RNA". The record is from RNAcentral. Lineage: Eukaryota; Viridiplantae; Streptophyta; Magnoliopsida; Poales; Poaceae.